GGAAUUGUGGCUCAGUGGUAGAGUACUUGCUUAGCAUGCAGGAGGCACUGGGUUCGAUCCUUAGCACCA
This 69-nucleotide transfer RNA is filed under the name Marmota marmota marmota (Alpine marmot). It matches the Rfam family "tRNA". Rfam says of the family: Transfer RNA (tRNA) molecules are approximately 80 nucleotides in length. Lineage: Eukaryota; Metazoa; Chordata; Mammalia; Rodentia; Sciuridae. The record is from Rfam by way of RNAcentral. RNAcentral also lists the same sequence under 1 other name.